AACAUUACCGGCUAACCCGUUUAUACAUGCAAGCCUCAACAUCCCGGUGAGUUGCGCCAACCGGAAACUCCACUACAGCGCACGCAUCAGACACGUAUUCACACAUCAACGACCGCACCGUACCGCCACACCUCCACAGGUAAUCAGCAGUAACUAAUAUUGGGCCAUAAGCGAAAGCUCGACCCAGCCCCAAGCCACGGGCCGGUAAACCUCGUGCCAGCUACCGCGGUUACACGAGCGGCCCAAGAUAAUGUCAGACGGCGUAAAAAUGACCCGAGCCAAUCAAUAAAAUUAAGGACUAACCAACCUCAGCUGUCCAACGCCAAAUACAACCGGAAGCCCACGCAACCUUAACCCACCCGACUACUUAACUCAUAAAAGCUGAGACACAAACUAGGAUUAGACACCCUACUAUGCUCACGCCUUCACACGGCUAAUGCCCGCCAGACUAGUACGAGCAACCGCUUAAAACUCAAAGGACUUGACGGUGACCCAUAUCAUCCUAGAGGAGCCUGUCCCAUAAUCGAUAAUCCACGCUAACACCUAACCACCCCUAGCCAAUCAGUCUAUAUACCGCCGUCGUCAGUCCCCCCCGCAAUGGAUCAACAGCGGACACAACAGUUCAUACACUAAAACGACAGGUCAACGCGUAGCACACGGGGUGGGCCAAGAUGGGCUACAUUUUCUAACAAGAACACACCACCGGCACAUGAAACACUCACCCUAAAGGUGGAUUUAGCAGUAAGAUGGUCCAGACACCCCACCUGAACACUGCACUGGGGCGCGCACACACCGCCCGUCACCCCCAUCGCCACACCAAACAUCCACAUACAUAAACAUACCACAUACACAGCAGAUGGGGAAAGUCGUAACAUGGUAAGCGUACUGGAAGGUGCGCUUGCACA
RNAcentral lists this non-coding RNA (905 nucleotides) under Myriopholis adleri. RNAcentral's name for it is "partial 12S ribosomal RNA". The stretch from base 447 to 901 matches the Rfam family "Archaeal small subunit ribosomal RNA", at positions 830 to 1466 of the family's 1478-position model. The record is from RNAcentral. Lineage: Eukaryota; Metazoa; Chordata; Lepidosauria; Squamata; Leptotyphlopidae.